Callorhinus ursinus (northern fur seal) is the source of this 685-nucleotide non-coding RNA. The record is from RefSeq and is a predicted model, not a curated record. NCBI's taxonomy places the organism in Eukaryota, Metazoa, Chordata, Mammalia, Carnivora, Otariidae.
GCUGCUGAGGGCAGGGGAACGCCAGGCUGCGCCUAGGGCCGCCGGCAGGCUGGCGGCCCGGCGGAGGGCGCCCCGCGCCCCGCCGGCAUCCCCCGCCCCAGCGCUGCUAGGAGCCCGACUUCUCCGGCUUCUGCAGAUCUCAGCCCACCCGGGGCUGCAGUCUCGGCGGCCAGACUCUCCGCGCCGAGAGUGAUCGGAGCGUUCUAGUCACCCCAAAGACGAGAGGCUUUAAAGCGAGCCGCGGGCGGCACGGAGCAGCGUGUGCAGGGAACCGCGGCGUGCGGCGCGUGGGCUCAGAGCGCUCCUGGCCGCGAGGCAGCGGCGCUGGAGGGGAGGAACGCGGCCGGCCGGCUCCCAUAUGGCUCAACAUGGCCAGAGACUGGGGGCUGGACAAAGAACCCGAAGACAAUGGAGCAGGACGUAAGAGACAGAAGGAUUAGAAGAGUUGCAGGGAGAACCUGACUAAUACGACAGCCAUGCAUGAGGUGAGACUGUGGGCAUUGGGCAAGUACAGAGAAACUGCUAGAAAAUGUAGCCUGUUACAGGUUUAGGCCCAACUUGUCUAGGCCUCUGCCCCAUUUAUUGCAGAAAAUGCUGGCAUCUUUAGCUUCUGUGGAACCCAGCAUAUCACAGACAACAUCACAGAGAGAGAGACAGCUAGAGAGGGAACACGAGCAGGGGCAGA